AACACUGUUAACCUGCGGUACCUGCGGAGGGAUCAUUACAGAGUUGCAAAACUCCCUAAACCAUUGUGAACGUUACCUAAACCGUUGCUUCGGCGGGCGGCCCGGGUCCUUCCCGGCGCCCCUCGGCCCUCGCGGGCGCCCGCCGGAGGUAAACCAAACUAUUGCAUUGUAUGGCCUCUCUGAGUCUUCUGUACUGGAUAAGUCAAAACUUUUAACAACGGAUCUCAGAUCGGAAGAGCA
This 240-nucleotide unclassified non-coding RNA is filed under the name soil metagenome. Its description in RNAcentral is "partial contains 5.8S ribosomal RNA, internal transcribed spacer 2, and large subunit ribosomal RNA". The record is from RNAcentral.